RNAcentral lists this unclassified non-coding RNA (134 nucleotides) under uncultured Glomeromycotina. Its description in RNAcentral is "sequence contains ITS1". Lineage: Eukaryota; Fungi; Glomeromycota. The record is from RNAcentral.
AAAAACGGGUCUUUUGACCCAUUUUUAAAACCCACUACCAAUUCUUACCUUCGGGUUAGUUGGAAGUGGGUUUUUUUCAAACUCCAAAAUUUUAAAUUUUUUCGUCUUAUGACGAAACCCAAAAUUAAUAAAUA